This 468-nucleotide ribosomal RNA is filed under the name uncultured bacterium. Its description in RNAcentral is "partial 16S ribosomal RNA". It matches the Rfam family "Bacterial small subunit ribosomal RNA", at positions 28 to 507 of the family's 1533-position model. The record is from RNAcentral.
GACGAACGCUGGCGGCGUGCUUAACACAUGCCAGUCGAACGGAAAGGCCCUGCUUUUGUGGGGUGCUCGAGUGGCGAACGGGUGAGUAACACGUGAGUAACCUGCCCUUGACUUUGGGAUAACUUCAGGAAACUGGGGCUAAUACCGGAUAGGAGCUCCUGCUGCAUGGUGGGGGUUGGAAAGUUUCGGCGGUUGGGGAUGGACUCGCGGCUUAUCAGCUUGUUGGUGGGGUAGUGGCUUACCAAGGCUUUGACGGGUAGCCGGCCUGAGAGGGUGACCGGCCACAUUGGGACUGAGAUACGGCCCAGACUCCUACGGGAGGCAGCAGUGGGGUAUAUUGCACAAUGGGCGGAAGCCUGAUGCAGCAACGCCGCGUGCGGGAUGACGGCCUUCGGGUUGUAAACCGCUUUCGCCUGUGACGAAGCGUGAGUGACGGUAAUGGGUAAAGAAGCACCGGCUAACUACGUG